This is an RNA transcript of Vicia villosa (hairy vetch), 3382 nucleotides long. RefSeq lists it as uncharacterized. Lineage: Eukaryota; Viridiplantae; Streptophyta; Magnoliopsida; Fabales; Fabaceae. The transcript has 2 exons. The record is from RefSeq and is a predicted model, not a curated record.
UCCACUUCCAAAUGCAUUGUACCUUUCUAACUAAAAUAACUUCUUGCUCAAACGACUCUAGCUUCUUCUAAAUCUGUCAGAGUAUUUUCUUUUUCUUUUCCUUCUUGUUACAUAUUCCUUUUUCUUCCAGUAAUGGUGGCCAUUCGUGAAUGUGAUGAAUUUGAUAGAGUAACAGCUCCCACAACCGCUUCAGAGAGGCAUUUAUUACUUGAACAUUACACUAAAACCUUUAGGUCAAAAUGGGUACCACCGAUUGAGGUUUUAUAGGUUCAAUCGAGAUCACCAUGGAGCUUUUCAGCGCCACCUGCAAUCUUGUGGAUCUAAAAUACGAUUUGAUGUGCUCGGGUAAGAGUUAUGUCAAUGCGUUUAGGGAUGAUCUCUUCAUUUCUAGUAUUGGUGAGGAGUGUGACGUUAUUCUCGAACCUUGUAUUCCCAGAUAAAAAAAUCUAUUGUAUCGUCCUCCUAGAUCCCUUGACGAGUUUUUCUAUUUUUAUGAAAACUUUUUGGAGACCCUUCGACAGGGGUUCCAUUCACCUAUUUUGAGGCGGAUCUACCGACCGUCCUAAACAUUUCCCCUUCACAGCUUCAACCUAAUAGUUGUGGAUUUGUGUGGGCCUUUGAAAUAGUGUGCGAGGCCUUGGGCAUAAACCCUACAGUGGGUAUUUUUUCUCUCUUUUCACGAAUCUAUAGGGGUUGAAAAUGGGAAUUGGGUUUCACUUUCCCGACUGCCUGGAUGUGGUCUAUUUUAAGUCCAUUCCUCAAACUUCAAGAAUUUUAAAAGCAAAUUGUUGAGAUUAGGGGUGGUGUUGGGUGUCCCCAAGUUAUUGUCAAAGAGGAGGGUUCCUAUUGAUUUCUUCUCUGUUGGAAUCAAUAUCUCGCCUUAAUUAGAGGUUUUGAUCCUAACAAACUGAGUGAGAAGGAGAAGAAUGCGGUGGAGCUUUUUGUUGAUUUGGGAGUUAUGUUAGUUAGCGAUGUGUUGAGUUGAAAAGGUGAUAAAGUUAAUCUUUGGAGUUAUUUAGGUAAAAGUACUUUCUCUUCCUUGGUUUCUGUUGAUCUAACAAUCCCUUUCCCAUUAACUAAGACUUUUUAUUCUUACGCGGAAAGGAUGGCGAUCAUGAACCUCAAAGAUAGGAUGGCUUUGUUAGCGAAGGCAAAAACUCUUCGAGGAGAAAAUCAGAACAUGGAGAAGAGUAAUCCCUUUGGCGUCCUGGUUCGUGUUCUGAAGAAAAUAAAAACGGGCGUCAAUGAGGUGUUUGCCUCCUCGAGGACGACGGUUUCGGUCGAGGUACCUAUGGCUCUUUCCUAGAAAAAAAAACAUAGCAGACAAUGGAAAGACGUCCUCGUAAGAUGGCUCUCAGUUGAGUCAAGACGACAAAUUUGAAGACUUUUUUGGAAAUUAUACACCGGCCAUUGAAACUGGGGUUCCGACUCUCAUCCUCCGACCAUUAAGUUUUGGCACUCUUUAUUAGAUGGUUUGCGCUCCAUGUAUGACCAUUUAAAUGCUGAAGAGGGUGUUACAAAAGUUAAAACACCGGGGGCUUAAAAACUACUUUAGAAUAUCGAGACCUAUCUUAUGAAAACCAUCGUACUAAGCAUGGCUUUGUUCGAGGUUUCUAACUCCUUCGAGAAAAAUGAAGCUAAUUUGAAGAAUAAGUUGAAGAAUGUGCUAGAGGCUCAAGAACUGAGUAAUACUCAGGUUGUUAAGGCCAACGAACGCAUAGCUUCCCUUGAAAAAGAGUUUGAGGAACUUAAAGUUUCCAAAAAGGCCUCUGGUCCCGGCCUUGUUGCGGGUGAGAAAGAAGUUGAGGACCUGAAGACUAAAUUGCCUGAACGCGAGAAAUUCAUUGAGUGUUUGAUGAGAAGCUCGAGGCUUCAUUAAUGGACAGCUUGUUGGCGGGUGAACAAGGUUUUGACAUAGCCAAAGACCAGACUUUAUUCCUUUAUCCUUCUCUUGAUUUGUUCUAGUUAGGGUUUUUCAAGACGAUCCGAAAUGGUCAAUUGCUUUUGGAGGAAGAUCCUGAAUCUACCCUGAAUUUGGAUGACAAUAUCAAACAACCCCUCUUUCCUUCUAAUGAUACCUCACCCGAGCCUUAGCCCAAUGAAGACUCUACUCAAUCUUCUCUUGGAAAUAUUGUUUAAGUAGAUGUUUAAGUGUUAUUUCAUGUAAUUUUAAUUCGCCCUUUUGUUCUUAGUUUGAAGUGUUUCCCUUUUAUGGUUUAAAAUAUUUUGUAGUACUAUAAUGUGUUGUGGAGUAUUUAUUUCUUUUAUGUUAUUUUGUUUAAUUAAUUGUGACCAGAAUAUGACAUGGGUUUCGAGACCAAUAGGGAAGAGAAGGAUUUCCUCUUGUUCCCUGCGUGGCUUUGGAAUUUGUCUGGGAAUGACAUCUUGCCUCAGGUUGAGAUGACAUCCUGUCGACUGUCCUUGGACAAAAAACUUGCAUUCGUAGAGGUCUUUGGUUUUGUAGAUAUGUCGCCUCCGUAGAGGUCUUAGGUUUUUGUAGACAUCUCGUCCCCAUAGAGGUUGUGGGUUUUUGUAGACACCUCGCACCCGUAUGUGUCUUGGGCUUUUGUAGACACGUCGCCCCCAUAGAGGACUUGGUUUUUUAGAUAUGACGCCCCCGUAGAGGUCUUAGGUUUUUGUAGAUACGUCGCCUCCAUAGAGAACUUGGGUUUUUGUAGAUACGUCGUCCUCGUAGAGGUCUUGGGUUUUUGUAGACAUCUCACCCCAUAUAAGUCUUGGAUUUUUGUAGAUACGUCGCCCCGUAGAGGACUUGGGUUUUGUAGAUACGUCGCCCCCGUAGAGGACAUGGGUUUUUGUAGACACCUACAACAUUGUUUUAUUUAACCGGUCGGGAGUGCCUUGUUAAAAACCCUACCCUUGUAGGGAAAAAGAGUGCAGCUCAUGGCCGUCUUUAUUUAAUUCAUUAUAUGAAUGAAUCUUAUUACAACGAAAUUCAAAUAAAACUAAAGUAAUAAAACUAAAAGACAAUCUUUAGUUCAACUGUAGUAGUGUCUCAAGUUCUUCAAAUUCCAGAUGCGGGGUACUUCAGCUCCGUCAAGAUGCUCCAGCUUGUCUACGCUCCACUAAAUGAAAGGCCGGGGCGACAUGAUGGUCUUAAAGCUAGUCGGGGUGUGGAUAAAAGGUGGAUACCUUUGGCAUUUAUCACACUGCUCCACGUACCGUGCACCUAUCCCGGAGAAUUUUGUCAGAAUUCAAAGUUUAUAAUGUAACAAGAGAUGUGUCUUUAGAUUACCUUAUGUAUAAGCACACAAUCAUCCAAAUCUCAUGACAUUAGAUUACCAAAAAUUUGUUUUUACUAAAUAAAAGAUACAAUGUAGGAUAGCCAAAAAUUAGGCAUAGAAUAUGUAGUUCAAACUAAAAU